RNAcentral lists this transfer RNA (77 nucleotides) under Candidatus Saccharimonadota bacterium. Its description in RNAcentral is "tRNA-Arg". It matches the Rfam family "tRNA". From Rfam's summary of the family: Transfer RNA (tRNA) molecules are approximately 80 nucleotides in length. Their secondary structure includes four short double-helical elements and three loops (D, anti-codon, and T loops). Lineage: Bacteria; Candidatus Saccharimonadota. The record is from RNAcentral.
GCCCCGGUAGCUCAGCGGAUUAGAGCAAUGGGCUUCUAUCCCACAGGCCGUAGGUUCGAUUCCUACCCGGGGUACCA